This 320-nucleotide long non-coding RNA is filed under the name Homo sapiens (human). RNAcentral's name for it is "HSALNT0244354". The record is from RNAcentral. Lineage: Eukaryota; Metazoa; Chordata; Mammalia; Primates; Hominidae.
UAGUGUUCAGUGGAAAAAUUCUUGUUUCUCUAGCAUCAUCCUACCCUUUCCUCCCUAAAGAAGGCUGCAGUCCUGAUAAGCUCCCAUUCAGGGUCCCUCCACUGAUGGAGUGUCUCUGAGGAGAGAAAGAAGGGUUUAUCUAAGUGUCACCCCCUUCAAAGCUGAAAAAUACACAGGAACAUCAUCAACGGUGCUUAGUACUUCUCAUGUGGCCCCAUGAUCAUCAUGUUUGAGAUACUUCUGCAAGAAGCUCCAAACAGUGAACUACUGAGAGAACACUUGUGGGAAUAUUUGCAGAGACAAACAAAUGUCAUCUUAAA